AGGAGGCGGGCUCGGCGGCCGGCUGAGGCUGAUUAACUUCCAGGUCGAGGUGAUAAAAAAAACACACCAACGGAGAGAAGGCGAGGAAAAAAAAAAGGGGAGUCAAACUCCGGGACCCGGCUCGCUGGGCGCUCGCCUCCGGCACCCAAGCGCCGCGAUGGAGGAAGCUUCUCCUUAUUCUUUACUUGAUAUCUGUUUGAAUUUCCUGACUGCCAACCUAGAGAAGUUUUGCACAGAAAGGCAGGAUGGAACACUGUGUUUGCAGGAGCCAGGAAUGUUUCCUCAAGAAGUGGCUGAUCGAUUGCUACAGACAAUGGCUUUUCAUGGGCUUCUGAAUGAUGGAACUGUGGGCAUCUUCCGAGGUAACCAGAUGCGUUUGAAACGAGCUUGUAUCCGGAAAGCGAAAAUCUCUGCUGUGGCUUUCCGGAAAGCGUUCUGCCAUCACAAGCUGGUAGAACUUGAUGCUACUGGGGUAAAUGCUGAUAUAACAAUCACAGACAUUAUAAGUGGACUCGGCAGCAAUAAAUGGAUCCAACAAAAUCUGCAAUGCCUUGUGCUGAACUCACUGACUCUUUCUUUGGAAGACCCAUAUGAGAGGUGCUUCAGUCAGUUGUCUGGGCUUCGUGCGUUGAGUAUUACCAAUGUUCUGUUCUACAACGAGGACUUGGCAGAUGUUGCUUCACUUCCUAGGCUAGAAAGUCUGGAUAUAUCGAACACCUCUGUCACUGACAUAACAGCACUCCUCACCUGCAAAGAGCGACUCAAGUCUUUGACCAUGCACCACCUGAAAUGCUUGAAAAUGACCACAACUCAGAUUCUGGAUGUUAUAAGAGAACUAAAAUACCUGAGUCACCUUGAUAUUUCUGAUGACAAACAGUUCACAUCAGACAUAGCACUUCGUUUACUGGAACAGAAAGACAUCUUGCCUAACCUUGUGUCUUUGGACAUUUCUGGAAGAAAACAUGUUACUGACAAAGCUGUAGAAGCGUUUAUUCAGCAACGGCCCACAAUGCAGUUUGUGGGACUGCUGGCUACGGAUGCUGGCUACUCAGAAUUCCUAACGGGAGAAGGAAACUUAAAGGUGUCAGGAGAAGCAAAUGAAACUCAGAUUUCUGAAGCACUGAAGCGUUACAGUGAACGGGCGUUCUUUGUGAGAGAAGCACUCUUUCAUUUAUUCAGCCUGACGCAUGUAAUGGAAAAAACAAAGCCUGAAAUUUUAAAGCUUGUGGUAAUUGGAAUGAGAAAUCACCCCCUAAACUUGCCUGUGCAGUUGGCAGCAAGUGCGUGUGUCUUCAACCUGACCAAGCAAGAUUUAGCAGCAGGGAUGCCUGUGCGACUUCUGGCUGAUGUCACUCACUUGCUCCUGAAGGCCAUGGAACACUUCCCAAAUCAUCAGCAGCUGCAAAAGAAUUGCCUGCUUUCACUAUGCAGUGACAGAAUCCUUCAGGAUGUUCCAUUUAACAGGUUUGAAGCAGCCAAACUUGUUAUGCAGUGGCUAUGUAAUCAUGAAGAUCAGAACAUGCAAAGGAUGGCUGUAGCCAUAAUUUCCAUUCUUGCUGCAAAGCUUUCAACAGAGCAAACAGCUCAACUUGGUGCAGAACUCUUCAUUGUUAGGCAACUUCUACAAAUAGUUAAACAGAAAACAAAUCAGAAUCUUGUAGAUACUACACUCAAGUUCACUCUGAGCGCACUUUGGAACCUCACUGAUGAAUCUCCAACAACGUGUCGGCACUUCAUUGAAAAUCAAGGGUUAGAACUUUUCAUGAGAGUCUUAGAGUCUUUUCCAUUGGAAUCAUCUAUCCAACAGAAAGUUCUUGGUCUUCUGAAUAACAUAGCUGAAGUUAAAGAACUCCAUUCGGAGUUAAUGUGGAAGGACUUUAUAGACCACAUCAGUAAAUUAUUGCACAGUGUGGAGGUGGAAGUUAGCUACUUCGCAGCAGGGAUUAUUGCUCACUUGAUAUCACGAGGAGAGCAGGCCUGGACAUUAAGUCGCAGCCAGAGGACGUCUCUCCUUGAACAGCUGGUACAGAAAUGAUGCAUUCUGCCAUUUUGAGUUGGCCAACCCCAGAAUGUGAGAUGGUGGCUUACAGGUCUUUCAAUCCGUUUUUUCCACUACUUGGCUGCUUCAUGACACCUGGCGUCCAGUUAUGGGCAGUGUGGGCCAUGCAGCAUGUCUGCAGCAAAAAUCCUGCCAGAUAUUGCAGCAUGUUAAUUGAAGAAGGUGGUUUACAGCACUUAUACAACAUCAAGGAAAACGUCCAGACUGAUCCACACGUCCAAAGGAUUGCUAUUGCCAUCCUAGAUAGUUUGGAAAAGCACAUUAUGCGUCACGGGAGACCACCGCCAUGUAGAAAACCACAACAAAAUAAACCAAACUGAAAGUCACAGCUAUAGGAGUGUAAAGUAUUGUCACUGUAAUAAUCCUUUCCAAUGUGUGUGUAGCUGGAGUAACUUGUAAUAUAGUGGUCACCAUUAAAGUGAUUUGCCAAUACUUGUGGUACCCAGAACAAUGUACGGUAACCUUUGGUGAAUGCUAACUUUAAUGGCAACCGCAUAUGCAACUUGUGAAGGGUCACUUGAUGCUUGAGUUGGUCACACCCCUAGGAUUUCUGCUGGCUACAGAGAGAUGGGACUUGUACAGAUCAGUAUGCACAUCUGAAAGAGACUUCUAGGAAUAUCUUAUUUGGUGAUUUCUGGGACAGAAAAUUAUAUCAUCCCUCUGAUUGCUGUUGAUAAUGCUGUUUAUCAGUUUGGUGUUUGAAUAGAACUGUGUGUGGUUGUGAGAUUCAACACUUUUACCAAUUACAACAAAAGUACAUGCAUGCAGGUUACAGUGAGACUUGUAACUAAGGCGACCAAAUUGUCUGUCUCAUAACCCUUCUAAACACAACUGGGGUCUUAAUUUUCCUUUUGCCUGCAAGUGUGUUCUUUUGUUUUCCUUACUGCUAGAAAUGCCUUUUUGCAUUUCUGCUCUGCUGAGUCCUAAGGUGGGCAUCAGCAUUGCAUCAGGGAAAAGGGAAACCUGCUCAGCUAAAGCAAUAGAAACAGGAUUAAAAGGAGACACAAUACUAAAAGGAUAAACUACGCUUGAGAUUUUAAACUUGAUUGCAAGAAGGGGUUUUUGUUGCUGUUUGACUGCUUCUGAUUGCGUGUGGUAUCUAUCUUUCAAUUUUAGAAUACAGAUAGGGAAAGAGAAGGCUCAUAAGAGCAAAAUGCUGACUUGUGUUCAUCAUGAGGGGGAUUGCAUGUCUCCAUAGGAGGCCCAGGAUAUUUGGUCACCUUAUUUAUAAGAAACUAAUGAUAGCUCUGUUCUCUGUAAAUAUUCUGUCAGUAUUGUGCAGUGAGUUGUAUUCCAGGUCAUCACAGUGCAAAAUAUCACCCGAUGUCCUAUGUAAGCCCUGUGUCAAUUGCAUUGUUUUGUGGAGUGUGAAAUUUUACAUGAAGAUGCUAAUUGUAACAACUUCUUUCUUUCUUUCUUGGUUACCUAUGGGUUUCAAAUGAUGUGUUGAAUGAAAUAUAUUGCACAGCAUACAGAUGCCUGAUAAAAUACAAGUGAUGGAAGCAAA
This is an RNA transcript of Columba livia (rock pigeon), 3566 nucleotides long. It is a transcript of the gene named protein zyg-11 homolog B, with no coding region annotated. The transcript has 14 exons. NCBI's taxonomy places the organism in Eukaryota, Metazoa, Chordata, Aves, Columbiformes, Columbidae. The record is from RefSeq and is a predicted model, not a curated record.